UGGUGAGGGUAAUCGUUAGGUAUUCAAAGUUCGCUUGCUGCUCCUAUUGAUUGCAUAGUCGACAUAAGUUACCAAAACCUUGACAAACAUCAACGAUCGGCAAGAAAUUAUUUUAGCUUUUAUAUUUUCAAUUAUCCAUAACUUUGAAAUUAUUGAUCUUAUGGAAAAAAAAUCGAUUUUAAAAGUCAACGAAGGAAAUCAAAAUGUCAAAUAUUAUUUUACUGUUAUCAAUAUUUACGUUAUCGAUUGGGCUUGUGGUAAAUCAAGAGAUUGACAAAACUUGUUGGUAUCAUGCAUGUUUUGGCGACAGUGAGUGCUGUGGAGGAUUCUACUGCUCUUUUGGUGCCUACGAGGGGACUUGUUUGCCAAAAUAAACAAUUGGUGGAAUUUUCAAUUCGAGGUUUCAAUAAUUUAAUUUCAACAUCUAUUAAAUUAUUUCUCCAAGUAAAAUUAUGUAAGACGCAUAAAGAAAUGAAUAAAUAGUAAUGCGCUAUCAAAAUAAAAACGGU
Long non-coding RNA from Microplitis mediator, 509 nucleotides. RefSeq lists it as uncharacterized. The record is from RefSeq and is a predicted model, not a curated record. Lineage: Eukaryota; Metazoa; Arthropoda; Insecta; Hymenoptera; Braconidae. The transcript is spliced from 3 exons.